UACGUAGGGGGCAAGCGUUGUCCGGAAUCAUUGGGCGUAAAGCGCGUGUAGGCGGUCCGGUAAGUCCGCUGUGAAAGUCCAGGGCUCAACCCUGGGAUGCCGGUGGAUACUGUCGGGCUAGAGUGCGGAAGAGGCGAGUGGAAUUCCCGGUGUAGCGGUGAAAUGCGCAGAUAUCGGGAGGAACACCAAUUGCGAAGGCAGCUCGCUGGGACGUAACUGACGCUGAGACGCGAAAGCGUGGGGAGCAAACAGG
RNAcentral lists this ribosomal RNA (253 nucleotides) under uncultured prokaryote. RNAcentral's name for it is "partial 16S ribosomal RNA". It matches the Rfam family "Bacterial small subunit ribosomal RNA", at positions 524 to 776 of the family's 1533-position model. The record is from RNAcentral.